UGCCUCGCUUGAAUGUUCAAGCCAACAGCGA
This 31-nucleotide non-coding RNA is filed under the name Homo sapiens (human). The record is from RNAcentral. Lineage: Eukaryota; Metazoa; Chordata; Mammalia; Primates; Hominidae.